GGACGUAUAGCUCAGUUGGUUAGAGCGCAUCGUUGACAUCGAUGAGGUCCGCCGUUCGAGUCGGCGUACGUCCA
This 74-nucleotide transfer RNA is filed under the name Nodosilinea foveolarum. RNAcentral's name for it is "tRNA-Val". It matches the Rfam family "tRNA". Rfam says of the family: Transfer RNA (tRNA) molecules are approximately 80 nucleotides in length. Their secondary structure includes four short double-helical elements and three loops (D, anti-codon, and T loops). The record is from RNAcentral. RNAcentral also lists the same sequence under 47 other names. Lineage: Bacteria; Bacillati; Cyanobacteriota; Cyanophyceae; Nodosilineales; Nodosilineaceae.